UACGAAGGGGGCUAGCGUUGCUCGGAAUGACUGGGCGUAAAGGGCGCGUAGGCGGCUCAUACAGUCAGAUGUGAAAUUCCUGGGCUUAACCUGGGGGCUGCAUUUGAUACGUGUGGGCUUGAGUGGGGAAGAGGGUCGUGGAAUUCCCAGUGUAGAGGUGAAAUUCGUAGAUAUUGGGAAGAACACCGGUGGCGAAGGCGGCGACCUGGUCCUUGACUGACGCUGAGGCGCGAAAGUGUGGGGAGCAAACAGG
Molecule: ribosomal RNA, 253 nt
Filed under: uncultured bacterium
Lineage: Bacteria
Description: partial 16S ribosomal RNA
Rfam family: Bacterial small subunit ribosomal RNA
Source: RNAcentral